This 540-nucleotide long non-coding RNA is filed under the name Numida meleagris (helmeted guineafowl). RNAcentral's name for it is "lncRNA (ENSNMEG00000006931.1)". The record is from RNAcentral. Lineage: Eukaryota; Metazoa; Chordata; Aves; Galliformes; Numididae.
AUGAAAACAAGACUGGUUUUCACUCAUGUUAGAAAAGUAACAUUCCUAGUGCAUAGGAUCAAAAAUUCCAGUGCACAUCAUUGGAAGGAAACAUUCAGUGGUGAGUCCAGAGUUCAGAGUAUUCAGUUCAAAGACUCCUAUUCUGGAUAUACAAUCCUGGAAACAGGGCUGUUUAUGCACAUUGUCUGUGUCAUCUAUGAAGUGUAUAUGCAGCUACAUGGAAGGGAUAUGAAGAAUUUGCUUAGGGAUCUGCACAAGAAUAACUGGUUACCAGACUCCAGCCUGGUGGAGUGUAACAUUAUUGAAAAGCUCUGAUAGCCGAUGGCUGAAAAUGCUCCGGAAUACUGUAACAUUACAGUCUUGUCUUGACUAUGUCAGCAUUAGGAGAUACAGCAUGCAGGAACAAUCAAGAGACUGUUUUUGACACUCCCAAUCUGAAAAAUAAGAUGCUGCAUAAUAGCUUGGUUUCUGAAAACCUGUGCUUGUAAGACAAACAUUGUGAUAGUUGCAAUAAAACAAAUGUCAGCAAUGAAGAAUACA